RNAcentral lists this long non-coding RNA (303 nucleotides) under Bos taurus (domestic cattle). RNAcentral describes it as "long non-coding RNA NONBTAT026741". Lineage: Eukaryota; Metazoa; Chordata; Mammalia; Artiodactyla; Bovidae. The record is from RNAcentral.
GGUCCUGCGAGGGUAGGGUUAAGUGUGGAUCUGAAGAUAAGGAGGGCCUAAAAUUGGGACAUGACUGCCUGAGGGGUGAUGGGACCAGCUUUAGGUGGCCUUGAACAAUUUACUGCAGAGACAGGGGCUGGACUUGGUCAAGUUGAAGAGUGGACUUGUGGAGGAUCUGGACUUGGAACCUGGCUAUAAUUGGAAUGCUCCAGGAGCAGGUACUAGUUGGGAAACUUGAGUUAUGAGGAAGGACCCAAGGAUGAAGGCCUGAGACGAGGGACAGUUGGAGAACCUGGAGGAAGGUCUUGGUCA